RNAcentral lists this ribosomal RNA (737 nucleotides) under uncultured euryarchaeote. RNAcentral's name for it is "bacterial SSU rRNA". It matches the Rfam family "Archaeal small subunit ribosomal RNA", at positions 95 to 833 of the family's 1478-position model. The record is from RNAcentral. Lineage: Archaea; Methanobacteriati; Methanobacteriota.
UACACGUUGCUAAUCUACCCUUAGAUCAGGAAUAACCUCGGGAAACUGAGGAUAAAACCUGGUAGAAGAUUUUCUCUGGAAUGAAGAAUCUUUGAAACUAUGGUCUAAGGAUGAGGCUGCGGUGGAUUAGGUAGUUGGCGGGGUAAAUGCCCACCAAGCCUUUGAUCCAUAAGGGCUCUUAGCGGAGAGGCCCUGAGAAGGAAUCUGAGACACUAUUCCUAGCCCUACGGGGUGCAGCAGUUAGGGAAAUUCUCCAAUGCGCGUAAGCGUGAGAGAGCAAGCCAGAGUGAUUUUCAUAUAAUUUGAAAAUCUUUUAUUUGUUGUAAAAAGACAGAAGAAUAAGGAGUGGGCAAGACUGGUGCCAGCCGCCGCGGUAAUCCCAGCGCUCCAAGUCGCAGCCACAAUUAUUGGGUCUAAAACAUUCGUAGCUUGUCGAGUAAGUUCUUUGUGAAAUUUUAACUCUUAAGGUUAAAGCGUGCAAAGAAUACUGCUUGGCUUGAGACCGGAAGAAGUAAGAAGUAUGCUUAAGGUAGUAGUAAAAUAUGUUAAUCUUAAGCAGACUAACAACAGCGAAGGCAUCUUACUAGUACGGAUCUGACAGUGAGGGAUGAAGGCUAGGGUCGCGAAACGGAUUAGAUACCCGUGUAGUCCUAGCAGUAAACACUGUUCACUGAACAUUGAGACCUCCUCGAGAGGUGUCAGUGCUGUAGAGAAGUCGAAGAGUGAACUACCUGGAA